UAUGGCUCAGGAUGAACGCUAGCUACAGGCUUAACACAUGCAAGUCGAGGGGCAGCAUGUUGGUUGCUUGCAACCAAUGAUGGCGACCGGCGCACGGGUGAGUAACGCGUAUCCAACCUACCCUUGUCCAUCGGAUAACCCGUCGAAAGGCGGCCUAACACGAUAUGCGGUUCACAGCAGGCAUCUAACGUGAACGAAAUGUGAAGGAGAAGGAUGGGGAGUGCGUCUGAUUAG
Molecule: ribosomal RNA, 234 nt
Filed under: uncultured bacterium
Lineage: Bacteria
Description: partial 16S ribosomal RNA
Rfam family: Bacterial small subunit ribosomal RNA
Source: RNAcentral